Octopus sinensis (East Asian common octopus) is the source of this 569-nucleotide long non-coding RNA. RefSeq lists it as uncharacterized. The record is from RefSeq and is a predicted model, not a curated record. The transcript is spliced from 3 exons. NCBI's taxonomy places the organism in Eukaryota, Metazoa, Mollusca, Cephalopoda, Octopoda, Octopodidae.
AUUCAUGGUAUCUAGUCCAAAUUAGCAUAGUUGUGAUAGCGUGCCAUAAAGGCAGUUAACCUCAACCAAAAUAUUAAGUGCAUACGUUUUAAGAGAAUUACAUUGAAUCUAUAAGUUUUGGGCCAAUAAACACAAACAACAACAAAACUGUUUAUGGCUCCAUGAAUCAGUUGUUUUUUACUUAUGGAAAGUGAAUGGACACAGUAAAUAAUAUUUUCAGGCUAUGAAGGUUAGAAACCAGAAAGUAUGAUAAAAGCAAUUAACCCUUUUAAUAUAAUUUCCAUCUGAGACAGCUCCUGGGUCAAUGAUACAAAUUUAUUGUUUUAAUCCUUUAGUAUUUAAACCAGCCAUAUCUGGCCCAAAUAUUUUACCCUUUUUAUGUUCAAACUAGCCUGAUCAGGCUUCUCACAUCUACCCUACAAUGUAAUCUUGAAAAUUAUACAAUCAUGUCAUCAAAACCUUAAAGCUACCAGAUGAUGCAUGAAUAAUUAAAAGCAAUGUGAAUCAAUAAGCAUCACCUUUGACAGAGUAAUCUGAGUGCUAAAGGGUUAAAUAGUGUGAUGAAUAAG